ACGGGUGAGGAACACGUAGGAACCUGCCUUUCAGAGGGGGACAACCAAGGGAAACUUUGGCUAAUACCGCAUAAUCUCGAGAGAGGAAAGUUGCCCGCAAGGGUGACGCUGAAAGAGGGGCCUGCGUCCGAUUAGCUAGUUGGUGAGGUAAAGGCUCACCAAAGCGAUGAUCGGUAACUGGUCUGAGAGGACGACCAGUCACACUGGGACUGAGACACGGCCCAGACUCCUACGGGAGGCAGCAGUGGGGAAUCUUGGACAAUGGGGGCAACCCUGAUCCAGCGAUGCCGCGUGGGUGAAGAAGGCCUUCGGGUUGUAAAGCCCUUUAGGUUGGGAAGAAGUGAUGUAGAGGAAAUGCUACAUUGUUGACGGUACCAACAGAAUAAGCACCGGCAAACUCUGUGCCAGCAGCCGCGGUAAUACAGAGGGUGCGAGCGUUAAUCGGAGUUACUGGGCGUAAAGGGCGCGUAGGCGGUGAGAUGUGUGUGAUGUGAAAGCCCCGGGCUUAACCUGGGAAGAGCAUCGCAAACUAUCUGACUGGAGUAUAAGAGAGGGUGGCGGAAUUUCCGGUGUAGCG
Molecule: ribosomal RNA, 577 nt
Filed under: uncultured bacterium
Lineage: Bacteria
Description: bacterial SSU rRNA
Rfam family: Bacterial small subunit ribosomal RNA
Source: RNAcentral